This 492-nucleotide ribosomal RNA is filed under the name uncultured bacterium. RNAcentral's name for it is "partial 16S ribosomal RNA". It matches the Rfam family "Bacterial small subunit ribosomal RNA", at positions 29 to 507 of the family's 1533-position model. The record is from RNAcentral.
AGUGAACGCUGGCGGUAGGCCUAACUCAUGCCAGUCGAACGGCAGCACAGUAAGAGCUUGCUAUUACGGGCGGCGAGUGGCGGACGGGUGAGGAAUACAUCGGAAUCUACUUUUUCGUGGGGGAUCACGUAGGGAAACUUACGCUACUACCGCAUACGACCUACGGGUGAAAGCAGGGGAUCUUCGGACCUUGCGCGAUUGAAUGAGCCGAUGUCGGCUUAGCUAGGUGGCGGGGUAAAGGCCCACCAAGGCGACGAUCCGUACCUGGUCUGAGAGGAUGAUCAGCCACACUGGAACUGAGACACGGUCCAGACUCCUACAGGGAGCACCGGUGGGGAAUAUUGGACAAGGGGGGCAAGCCUGAUCCAGCCAUACCGCGUGGGUGAAGAAGGCCUUCGGGUUGUAAAGCCCUUUUGUUGGGAAAGAAAAGCAGCAGUUUAAUACCCCGCUGUUCUGACGGUACCCAAAGAAUAAGCACCGGCUAACUUCGUG